UUACUACUCCCUCCGUCCGAAAAUACUUGUCGGAGGAAUGGAUGUAUUUAGACGCAAUUUAGUUGUAGAUAUAUCCAUUUUCAUCCAUUUUUCCGACAAGUAUUUCCGGACGGAGGGAGUAUAAU
This is a non-coding RNA of Triticum aestivum (bread wheat), 125 nucleotides long. NCBI's taxonomy places the organism in Eukaryota, Viridiplantae, Streptophyta, Magnoliopsida, Poales, Poaceae. The record is from Rfam.